GAAAGGGCUGUAGCUCAGUGGUAGAUCAUCUGCUUUGCAUGCAGAAAGCCCCAGGUUCAAUCCUUGGCCUUGACA
This is a non-coding RNA of Podarcis lilfordi (Lilford's wall lizard), 75 nucleotides long. NCBI's taxonomy places the organism in Eukaryota, Metazoa, Chordata, Lepidosauria, Squamata, Lacertidae. The record is from the annotation of a GenBank genome assembly.